Molecule: ribosomal RNA, 511 nt
Filed under: uncultured bacterium
Lineage: Bacteria
Description: bacterial SSU rRNA
Rfam family: Bacterial small subunit ribosomal RNA
Source: RNAcentral
AAUCAACGCUGGCGGCGUGCCUCAGACAUGCAAGUCGAACGCGAAAGUCCCCUUCGGGGGACAAGUAGAGUGGCGCACGGGUGAGUAACACGUAGGUAAUCUACCUUUGGAUGGGGAAUAACAACCGGAAACGGUUGCUAAUACCGCAUAAUGCAGCGGCACCUAAUGGUGACAGUUGUUAAAGCGGGGGAUCGAAAGACCUCGCGUCUAAAGAGGAGCCUGCGGCGGAUUAGCUAGUUGGAAGGUAAUGGCUUACCAAGGCUACGAUCCGUAACCGGCCUGAGAGGGCGGUCGGUCACACUGACACUGACAUACGGGUCAGACUCCUACGGGAGGCAGCAGUCGGGAAUUUUGGGCAAUGGGCGAAAGCCUGACGCAGCGACGCCGCGUGUGGGAUGACGGUCUUCGGAUUGUAAACCACUGUCGGGAGGGACGAAUACGCCGCAAGGCGGGUGACGGUACCUCCAAAGGAAGCACCGGCUAACUCCGUGCCAGCAGCCGCCGCGGUAAC